CCUACGGGGGGCAGCAGUGGGGGAUAUUGCACAAUGGGGGAAACCCUGAUGCAGCGACGCCGCGUGUGGGAAGACGGUCCUCUGGAUUGUAAACCACUGUCCCCAGGGACGAAGAUGACGGUACCUGGGGAGGAAGCUCCGGCUAACUACGUGCCAGCAGCCGCGGUAAUACGUAGGGAGCAAGCGUUGUCCGGAAUUACUGGGUGUAAAGGGAGCGUAGGCGGGAUGGCAAGUUGGGUGUUAAAUCUACCGGCUCAACUGGUAGUCGCACUCAAAACUGCUAUUCUUGAGUGAAGUAGAGGCAGGCAGAAUGCGUAGUGUAGCGGUGAAAUGCGUAGAUAUUAGGAGGAACACCAGUGGCGAAGGCGGCCUGCUGGGCUGUUACUGACGCUGAGGCUCGAAAGUGUGGGGAGCGAACAGGAUUAGAUACCCGUGUAGUC
Molecule: ribosomal RNA, 440 nt
Filed under: uncultured bacterium
Lineage: Bacteria
Description: partial 16S ribosomal RNA
Rfam family: Bacterial small subunit ribosomal RNA
Source: RNAcentral